UCAAGCAAAAAAGAGCGCAGGGUGGAUGCCUUGGCACUAAGAGCCGAAGAAAGACGUGAUAAGCUGCGAAAAGCUGCGGGGAGGAGCAAAUAUCCACUGAUCCGCAGAUGUCUGAAUGGGGAAACCCGCAUGAGCAUACCUCAUGCAUCCAUACGCCAAUCCAUAACGUAUGGAAGGGAACCGCCUGAACUGAAACAUCUAAGUAGGGCGAGGAAGAGAAAGAAAAUUUAUCGAUUUCCAAAGUAGCGGCGAGCGAAAUGGAAAGAGGCCAAACCGGAGUGCGUGCACUCCGGGGUUCGGACCGCAUUUAAGAUCUGAUGAUCCUAGCAGAAAGGUUUUGGGAAAGCCUGCCGGAGAGGGUGAAAGCCCCGUAAGCGAAAGGAAAGCCAGCUGAGCGGUAUCCAGAGUACAUCGAGACACGAGAAACCUUGAUGGAAUGAGCGGGGACCACCCCGUAAGCCUAAAUACUCCUUAGUGACCGAUAGCGCAUAGUACUGUGAAGGAAAGGUGAAAAGGACCCCGGGAGGGGAGUGAAAGAGAACCUGAAACCCUGUGUUUACAAGCUGUGGGACAUCUUUACAUGAUGAACCGCGUACUUUUUGUAGAACGGUCCGGCGAGUUGCGGAUGCCGGCAAGGUUAAGCACUUAAGGUGUGGAGCCGAAGGGAAACCAAGUCUGAAGAGGGCGCAUAUAGUCAGUAUCCGCAGACCCGAAACCGGGUGAUCUACCCAUGUCCAGGUUGAAGUUGCCGUAAAAGGCAAUGGAGGACCGAACGCACAUCCGUUGAAAAGGGUGGCGAUGAGGUGUGGGUAGGGGAGAAAUUCCAAUCGAACCCGGAGAUAGCUGGUUCUCCUCGAAAUAGCUUUAGGGCUAGCCUCAUACGAGUCUUGCGGAGGUAGAGCACUGAAUUUCCUAGGGGGCGUCAAAGCUUACCGAAGAAUAUCAAACUCCGAAUGCCGCGUAGAUGAUGUAUGGGAGUCAGACUAUACGAGAUAAGUUGGAUAGUCGAAAGGGAAAGAGCCCAGACCACCGGCUAAGGUCCCAAAAUGUGUGUUAAGUGGAAAAGGAUGUGGGAUUUCGAAGACAACCAGGAUGUUGGCUUAGAAGCAGCCAUACAUUAAAAGAGUGCGUAAUAGCUCACUGGUCGAGAGGUCCUGCGCCGAAAAUGUCCGGGGCUGAAACACACUACCGAAGCCGUGGAAUCAUCGAAUGAUGAUUGGUAGAGGAGCAUUCUUAAAGAGAAGAAGCUGUACUGUAAAGAGCAGUGGAUUUUUAAGAAGAGAGAAUGCCGGAAUGAGUAGCGAGAGGAAGGUGAGAAUCCUUCCGGCCGAAUAUCUAAGGUUUCCAGAGUAAAGCUGAUCUGCUCUGGGUAAGUCGGGGCCUAAGGCGAGGUCGAAAGACGUAGUCGAUGGAUAACAGGUUGAAAUUCCUGUACUAUGAUAUGACAGAACUGUGGGGACACGUGUGGAAAGCGGAAGCCGGGAAUGGAAAGACCGGUGCAAGCAAGGUAGGAGACUGGUUGGCAAAUCCGCCAGUCAAUCUGAAGAUGUGAUGCGUACUGAAAUAUAAGUAAGGAAGUCCGUGAGCCAUGCGUCAAGAAAAGCCGCUAUUGUUCAUAUCGUACCCGUACCGUAAACCGACACAGGUGGAUGAGGAGAGAAUCCUAAGGCCGACGGGAGAAGCAUUGUUAAGGAACUCGGCAAAAUGACUCCGUAACUUCGGGAGAAGGAGUGCCAGUGAGAGCUGGCCGCAGAGAAUUGGCCCAAGCAACUGUUUAGCAAAAACACAGGUCUAUGCAAAACCGAAAGGUGAAGUAUAUGGGCUGACGCCUGCCCGGUGCUGGAAGGUUAAGGGGAGAGGUUAGCAGUAAUGCGAAGCUUUGAACUUAAGCCCCAGUAAACGGCGGCCGUAACUAUAACGGUCCUAAGGUAGCGAAAUUCCUUGUCGGGUAAGUUCCGACCCGC
RNAcentral lists this ribosomal RNA (1964 nucleotides) under human gut metagenome. RNAcentral describes it as "bacterial LSU rRNA". It matches the Rfam family "Bacterial large subunit ribosomal RNA", at positions 3 to 1991 of the family's 2925-position model. The record is from RNAcentral.